AUACGGAAGGUGCAAACGUUGUUCGGUGUCACUGGGCAUAAAGGGCACGUAGGCGGCCAUGUUUGUCGAGGGUGAAAGCCCCUAGCUCACCUAGGGAAUUGCCUUCGAAACGGCAUGGCUUGAGGGUUGGAGGGGAGACCGGAACGUUGCAUGUAACGGUGAAAUGUGUAGAUAUGCAACGGAACGCCGACGGUGAAGACGGGUCUCUGGACAACUCCUGACGCUGAGGUGCGAAAGCGCGGGUAGCGAACGGGAUUAGAAACCCCAGUAGUCC
Molecule: ribosomal RNA, 274 nt
Filed under: uncultured bacterium
Lineage: Bacteria
Description: partial 16S ribosomal RNA
Rfam family: Bacterial small subunit ribosomal RNA
Source: RNAcentral